This 342-nucleotide ribosomal RNA is filed under the name Medaura scabriuscula. Its description in RNAcentral is "partial small subunit ribosomal RNA". The record is from RNAcentral. Lineage: Eukaryota; Metazoa; Arthropoda; Insecta; Phasmatodea; Phasmatidae.
UAGUUAUUUUCUUUAAACCUAAAGAAUUUGGCGGUGUUUUAGUCUAUUCAGAGGAAUCUGUCCCGUUAUCGAUAGUCCACGUUUUAUCUUACUUUAUUUUGUUGUUCAGUAUGUAUACCGCCGUUAUAAGUUUAUUUUAUUAGAAUUGUUUAAUUUACUUAAAAUAAAAUUUUAUAUUAUUUCAGGUCAAGGUGCAGUUUAUAGUGAAGUGGAGAUGGAUUACACUUUUAUUUGAAUAAAUGGACAUGUUUAAUUUAAAAUUUCAUUGAAGGUGGAUUUGAUAGUAAUAUUUUAAAUAUUAAUUAUUUGAUUUUAGCUCUAAAAUAAGCACACAUCGCCCGA